GAUGAACGCUGGCGGCGUGCCUAAUACAUGCAAGUCGAGCGAACGGACGAGAAGCUUGCUUCUCUGAUGUUAGCGGCGGACGGGUGAGUAACACGUGGAUAACAUACCUAUAAGACUGGGAUAACUUCGGGAAACCGGAGCUACUACCGGAUAAUAUUUUGAACCGCAUGGUUCAAAAGUGAAAGACGGUCUUGCUGUCACUUAUAGAUGGAUCCGCGCUGCAUUAGCUAGUUGGUAAGGUAACGGCUUACCAAGGCAACGAUGCAUAGCCGACCUGAGAGGGUGAUCGGCCACACUGGAACUGAGACACGGUCCAGACUCCUACGGGAGGCAGCAGUAGGGAAUCUUCCGCAAUGGGCGAAAGCCUGACGCAGCAACGCCGCGUGAGUGAUGAAGGUCUUCGGAUCGUAAAACUCUGUUAUUAGGGAAGAACAUAUGUGUAAGUAACUGUGCACAUCUUGACGGUACCUAAUCAGAAAGCCACGGCUAACUACGUG
Molecule: ribosomal RNA, 497 nt
Filed under: uncultured bacterium
Lineage: Bacteria
Description: partial 16S ribosomal RNA
Rfam family: Bacterial small subunit ribosomal RNA
Source: RNAcentral